GACGAACGCUGGCGGCGUGCUUAACACAUGCAAGUCGAACGGAAAGGCCCUGCUUGCAGGGUACUCGAGUGGCGAACGGGUGAGUAACACGUGGGUGAUCUGCCCUGCACUUCGGGAUAAGCCUGGGAAACUGGGUCUAAUACCGGAUAGGAGCCAUUUUUAGUGUGAUGGUUGGAAAGUUUUUUCGGUGUAGGAUGAGCUCGCGGCCUAUCAGCUUGUUGGUGGGGUAAUGGACUACCAAGGCGGCGACGGGUAGCCGGCCUGAGAGGGUGGACGGCCACAUUGGGACUGAGAUACGGCCCAGACUCCUACGGGAGGCAGAAGUGGGGAAGAUUGCACAAUGGGCGCAAGCCUGAUGCAGCGGCGCCGCGUGGGGGAUGACGGCCUUCGGGUUGUAAACUCCUUUCGCUAGGGACGAAGCUUUUUGUGACGGUACCUAGAUAAGAAGCACCGGCUAACUACGUG
RNAcentral lists this ribosomal RNA (465 nucleotides) under uncultured bacterium. Its description in RNAcentral is "partial 16S ribosomal RNA". It matches the Rfam family "Bacterial small subunit ribosomal RNA", at positions 28 to 507 of the family's 1533-position model. The record is from RNAcentral.